GAAACAUGACUCUCUCACCCAGACAGCAAGAUCACACUCUGACACAAAUUCCUGCCCUUUUGGGAAGUAUGAUAAGCCUCAAGGCAAACAAUUCUUCCUUCACAACUGCAGUUCUGGGGACCUGAUGACAUAGAAUGACUCGCUAGACUCCUGCCUCUUCUACUUCAUUCUUACCAUGAGCUCCCCUAGAAGAUGUAGUCAUCCACCAUUACCAAGAUCUGGAACCAGAAAGAUCAAGCUCUAGGAAGCAGCACACACUAUACUCCUGUGUGGAAACAAAGUAAUCCUCAUCAGAUCAUCUAACUUGCUGUUGCUAUAAGGACUGUGAAUUGGUAACCAUAAAUAAAGCAUAGGAAAGAGGAGGGAAAGCACCAUCAACGAUAGUUAAAAACUGGAUGUGACAUUUGA
Cercocebus atys (sooty mangabey) is the source of this 408-nucleotide long non-coding RNA. RefSeq lists it as uncharacterized. The record is from RefSeq and is a predicted model, not a curated record. The transcript is spliced from 2 exons. Lineage: Eukaryota; Metazoa; Chordata; Mammalia; Primates; Cercopithecidae.